CCUACGGGCGGCUGCAGUGGGGAAUAUUGCACAAUGGGCGCAAGCCUGAUGCAGCCAUGCCGCGUGUGUGAAGAAGGCCUUCGGGUUGUAAAGCACUUUCAGCGGGGAGGAAGGCGUUAAGGUUAAUAACCUUGUCGAUUGACGUUACCCGCAGAAGAAGCACCGGCUAACUCCGUGCCAGCAGCCGCGGUAAUACGGAGGGUGCAAGCGUUAAUCGGAAUUACUGGGCGUAAAGCGCACGCAGGCGGUCUGUCAAGUCGGAUGUGAAAUCCCCGGGCUCGACCUGGGAACUGCAUUCGAAACUGGCAGGCUAGAGUCUUGUAGAGGGGGGUAGAAUUCCGGGUGUAGCGGUGAAAUGCGUAGAGAUCUGGAGGAAUACCGGUGGCGAAGGCGGCCCCCUGGACAAAGACUGACGCUCAGGUGCGAAAGCGUGGGGAGCAAACAGGAUUAGAUACCUUGUAGUC
This 464-nucleotide ribosomal RNA is filed under the name uncultured Klebsiella sp. RNAcentral describes it as "bacterial SSU rRNA". It matches the Rfam family "Bacterial small subunit ribosomal RNA", at positions 338 to 795 of the family's 1533-position model. Lineage: Bacteria; Pseudomonadati; Pseudomonadota; Gammaproteobacteria; Enterobacterales; Enterobacteriaceae. The record is from RNAcentral.